GAUGAACGCUGGCGGCGUGCCUAAUACAUGCAAGUCGAGCGAACGGACGAGAAGCUUGCUUCUCUGAUGUUAGCGGCGGACGGGUGAGUAACACGUGGAUAACCUACCUAUAAGACUGGGAUAACUUCGGGAAACCGUAGCUAAUACCGGAUAAUAUUUUGAACCGCAUGGUUCAAAAGUGAAAGACGGUCUUGCUGUCACUUAUAGAUGGAUCCGCGCUGCAUUAGCUAGUUGGUAAGGUAACGGCUUACCAAGGCAACGAUGCAUAGCCGACCUGAGAGGGUGAUCGGCCACACUGGAACUGAGAUACGGUCCAGACUCCUACGGGAGGCAGCAGUAGGGAAUCUUCCGCAAUGGGCGAAAGCCUGACGGAGCAACGCCGCGUGAGUGAUGAAGGUCUUCGGAUCGUAAAACUCUGUUAUUAGGGAAGAACAUAUGUGUAAGUAACUGUGCACAUCUUGACGGUUUCUAAUCAGAAAGCCACGGCUAACUACGUG
RNAcentral lists this ribosomal RNA (497 nucleotides) under uncultured bacterium. Its description in RNAcentral is "partial 16S ribosomal RNA". It matches the Rfam family "Bacterial small subunit ribosomal RNA", at positions 28 to 507 of the family's 1533-position model. The record is from RNAcentral.